Molecule: ribosomal RNA, 307 nt
Filed under: uncultured Mycobacterium sp.
Lineage: Bacteria; Bacillati; Actinomycetota; Actinomycetes; Mycobacteriales; Mycobacteriaceae
Description: bacterial SSU rRNA
Rfam family: Bacterial small subunit ribosomal RNA
Source: RNAcentral
AACACAUGCAAGUCGAACGGAAAGGCCUCUUCGGAGGUACUCGAGUGGCGAACGGGUGAGUAACACGUGGGCAAUCUGCCCUGCACUUCGGGAUAAGCCUGGGAAACUGGGUCUAAUACCGGAUAGGACCUCAAGACGCAUGUCUUCUGGUGGAAAGCUUUUGCGGUGUGGGAUGGGCCCGCGGCCUAUCAGCUUGUUGGUGGGGUGACGGCCUACCAAGGCGACGACGGGUAGCCGGCCUGAGAGGGUGUCCGGCCACACUGGGACUGAGAUACGGCCCAGACUCCUACGGGAGGCAGCAGAAGGG